AGAGCGAACGCUGGCGGCAUGCUUAACACAUGCAAGUCGCACGGGCAGGGGCAACUCUGUCAGUGGCGGACGGGUGAGUAACGCGUAGGUAUCUAUCCUUGGGUGGGGGACAACUGUGGGAAACUACAGCUAAUACCGCAUGAUGACCGAGGUCUAAAGGCGUCCGGGGUAACCUGGUGCGUCGCCUGAGGAGGAGCCUGCGUACGAUUAGCUAGUUGGUGGGGUAAAGCCUACCAAGGCGACGAUCGUUAGCUGGUCUGAGAGGAUGAUCAGCCACAUUGGGACUGAGACACGGCCCAAACUCCUACGGGAGGCAGCAGUGGGGAAUAUUGGACAAUGGGCGCAAGCCUGAUCCAGCAAUGCCGCGUGUGUGAAGAAGGUCUUCGGAUUGUAAAGCACUUUCGACGGGGACGAUGAUGACGGUACCCGUAGAAGAAGCCCGGCUAACUUCGUGCCAGCAGCCGCGGU
Molecule: ribosomal RNA, 468 nt
Filed under: uncultured bacterium
Lineage: Bacteria
Description: SSU rRNA
Rfam family: Bacterial small subunit ribosomal RNA
Source: RNAcentral